This 723-nucleotide ribosomal RNA is filed under the name Bacillus licheniformis. RNAcentral describes it as "bacterial SSU rRNA". It matches the Rfam family "Bacterial small subunit ribosomal RNA", at positions 188 to 895 of the family's 1533-position model. The record is from RNAcentral. Lineage: Bacteria; Bacillati; Bacillota; Bacilli; Caryophanales; Bacillaceae.
GCAUGGUUCAAUCAUAAAAGGUGGCUUUUAGCUACCACUUACAGAUGGACCCGCGGCGCAUUAGCUAGUUGGUGAGGUAACGGCUCANNNAGGCGACGAUGCGUAGCCGACCUGAGAGGGUGAUCGGCCACACUGGGACUGAGACACGGCCCAGACUCCUACGGGAGGCAGCAGUAGGGAAUCUUCCGCAAUGGACGAAAGUCUGACGGAGCAACGCCGCGUGAGUGAUGAAGGUUUUCGGAUCGUAAAACUCUGUUGUUAGGGAAGAACAAGUACCGUUCGAAUAGGGCGGCACCUUGACGGUACCUAACCAGAAAGCCACGGCUAACUACGUGCCAGCAGCCGCGGUAAUACGUAGGUGGCAAGCGUUGUCCGGAAUUAUUGGGCGUAAAGCGCGCGCAGGCGGUUUCUUAAGUCUGAUGUGAAAGCCCCCGGCUCAACCGGGGAGGGUCAUUGGAAACUGGGGAACUUGAGUGCAGAAGAGGAGAGUGGAAUUCCACGUGUAGCGGUGAAAUGCGUAGAGAUGUGGAGGAACACCAGUGGCGAAGGCGACUCUCUGGUCUGUAACUGACGCUGAGGCGCGAAAGCGUGGGGAGCGAACAGGAUUAGAUACCCUGGUAGUCCACGCCGUAAACGAUGAGUGCUAAGUGUUAGAGGGUUUCCGCCCUUUAGUGCUGCAGCAAACGCAUUAAGCACUCCGCCUGGGAGUACGGUCGCAAGACU